AAGUCGUAACAAGGUAACCGUAGGUGAACCUGCGGUUGGAUCAUUAAUAAAAUGACAAAAGUAUUUUGUCGUCCUUUUUUGGUUUUUUUUUUCUUUUUUUGUUUUCACUCCAAGUUGACCUUUGACGCUUGGUGUAAAAAAAAAGAAAAAUAUCCCAAAACAACUCUGUGCGCACUGUAUCUGUCUCUGCCUGGUGGGGAAUGUGGGACCCCAGUAGUAAUCAUUCUGGGAUCUUGCCAGGCAGGUUCUUGUGUUAAGUAGGAGAUUUUGUGGUUACUUGGUAACUCAAAAAAGAAAAAAAAAACAUAAAAACAACUUUUGACAACGGAUCUCUUGGCUCUC
Molecule: unclassified non-coding RNA, 342 nt
Filed under: fungal sp.
Lineage: Eukaryota; Fungi
Description: partial internal transcribed spacer region
Rfam family: Eukaryotic small subunit ribosomal RNA (bases 1-46)
Source: RNAcentral